AUUGUUUUAUGCUUCCUCCCCUUUUGAUCAAUCAGUGAUUUACUAUAUGCUGCAGAGCUUAAACAUUCAUUUCCAGACUUAUCAUCUGUUAGGACUGGUGGUUUUUAAAUGAAUUCUUCUGUGUCAAUUGAAUUAGUUAAUCACUCUUUAGUUGUGGUUCACAUUAUGGUGAUGCUAGGAUAUCAAGUUGAAAAUUCUUGCUAUUUUUUAAUUCCUCCCACGUUAGUGCUUUAAUAUAUGCG
RNAcentral lists this unclassified non-coding RNA (242 nucleotides) under Hevea brasiliensis (rubber tree). Lineage: Eukaryota; Viridiplantae; Streptophyta; Magnoliopsida; Malpighiales; Euphorbiaceae. The record is from RNAcentral.